CCUACGGGUGGCAGCAGUGAGGAAUAUUGGUCAAUGGACGAGAGUCUGAACCAGCCAAGUAGCGUGAAGGAUGACUGCCCUAUGGGUUGUAAACUUCUUUUAUAUGGGAAUAAAAUGUUCCACGUGUGGGAUUUUGUAUGUACCAUAUGAAUAAGGAUCGGCUAACUCCGUGCCAGCAGCCGCGGUAAUACGGAGGAUCCGAGCGUUAUCCGGAUUUAUUGGGUUUAAAGGGAGCGUAGGUGGAUUGUUAAGUCAGUUGUGAAAGUUUGCGGCUCAACCGUAAAAUUGCAGUUGAAACUGGCAGUCUUGAGUACAGUAGAGGUGGGCGGAAUUCGUGGUGUAGCGGUGAAAUGCUUAGAUAUCACGAAGAACUCCGAUUGCGAAGGCAGUUCACUGGACUGCAACUGACACUGAGGCUCGAAAGUGUGGGUAUCAAACAGGAUUAGAUACCCUAGUAGUU
This 460-nucleotide ribosomal RNA is filed under the name uncultured bacterium. RNAcentral's name for it is "partial 16S ribosomal RNA". It matches the Rfam family "Bacterial small subunit ribosomal RNA", at positions 338 to 795 of the family's 1533-position model. The record is from RNAcentral.